UUCAUGAAAAGUGGAGAAGGAGCUGCAGAGUAUCAUAAACAUGUUGCUAAAUUAAGAAAGGAAAAGAGGAUCAAUCACAAGAUGCUGUGGCUAGCAUGUGACAGUAUCGAUAUGAAAUGGAUCCGGGAUGGAUGUGCUAAGCGGAUCUUAUGUCAAACCUUUGAUCAUCAUCAUCAUCCUAGGGAAACAGUUUUGCCCGGUAUGAUUGGAUGCACAUUUUUGAAUAGAGAAAGAACGGUGGUCGUUUUCUCUUGGUUGAGUUCUCACAUUGCUCCACCUAAUGCCUUUUUCUUUCAAGUGGUGUCACAACAAAAGUGACACAAUCGCGGAACAUUGAGAUCCGUACUGAAUGAAUAGAAGCCUAAUGUGCCUCGUAGAUAUUUGCUGGCUAUACGGUCGGGAUACUCUUCAUAACUAAUCGGGUUUUGUUUGUUCCAAUGAAGAAUGGCUCCAUUUGAGUUAUGAAUCUUUUCUGGAAGGCGAAUGUAUCCCUCUGAUCUCAAAGGAACUAAACCAACUGAUGGAUGGUAUUCGAGCCCUGGCUGUCCUUCCACCGGAUCUGCCUGUACCCGAAGAGCAAGAAGAACGAGUUUCAUUCGCAAACUUUUACAGGCAGCUGAGCAUUUAUCAGCAGUCAUUGUUCAGUUCUUCAUGUUUUAGUCUCGACAAUGAUGGUAACAUCGAUGACAACAAUGUCUUUCCCAUUCUUAUUAUAGAGAUUUUUCAAUCA
This is a non-coding RNA of Carica papaya (papaya), 730 nucleotides long. The record is from RefSeq and is a predicted model, not a curated record. Lineage: Eukaryota; Viridiplantae; Streptophyta; Magnoliopsida; Brassicales; Caricaceae.